Molecule: ribosomal RNA, 231 nt
Filed under: uncultured bacterium
Lineage: Bacteria
Description: partial 16S ribosomal RNA
Rfam family: Bacterial small subunit ribosomal RNA
Source: RNAcentral
CGGGUGAGUAACACGUAUCCAGCCUGCCGUCUACUCUUGGACAGCCUUCUGAAAGGAAGAUUAAUACAAGAUGGCAUCAUGAGUUCACAUGUUCACAUGAUUAAAGGUAUUCCGGUAGACGAUGGGGAUGCGUUCCAUUAGAUAGUAGGCGGGGUAACGGCCCACCUAGUCAACGAUGGAUAGGGGUUCUGAGAGGAAGGUCCCCCACAUUGGAACUGAGACACGGUCCAA